CAGUGAAAUGAUGGCAAUCACCUUUCAGGACUGACUGACCUAAAAUGAAGAGAAUACUCAUUGCUCAUCACUU
Molecule: small nucleolar RNA, 73 nt
Organism: Ailuropoda melanoleuca (giant panda)
Lineage: Eukaryota; Metazoa; Chordata; Mammalia; Carnivora; Ursidae
Source: Ensembl